RNAcentral lists this ribosomal RNA (250 nucleotides) under uncultured prokaryote. RNAcentral's name for it is "partial 16S ribosomal RNA". It matches the Rfam family "Bacterial small subunit ribosomal RNA", at positions 524 to 773 of the family's 1533-position model. The record is from RNAcentral.
UACGUGGGGUGCAAGCGUUGUCCGGUAUCAUUGGGCGUAAAGCGUUCGUAGGCGGCAAGGUAAGUCAGGUGUUAAAGCCCGGGGCUCAACUCCGGUUCGGCAUUUGAUACUAUCUAGCUAGAAUGCGGUAGAGGUAAAGGGAAUUCCUGGUGUAACGGUGAAAUGCGUAGGUAUCAGGAGGAACAUCGGUGGCGAAAGCGCUUUACUGGGCCGUUAUUGACGCUGAGGAACGAAAGCCGGGGGAGCGAAU